GAUGAACGCUGGCGGCGUGUCUAAUACAUGCAAGUCGAGCGAACGGACGAGAAGCUUGCUUCUCUGAUGUUAGCGGCGGACGGGUGAGUAACACGUGGAUAACCUACCUAUAAGACUGGGAUAACUUCGGGAAACCGUAGCUAAUACCGGAUAAUAUUUUGAACCGCAUGGUUCAAAAGUGAAAGACGGUCUUGCUGUCACUUAUCGAUGGAUCCGCGCUGCAUUAGCUAGUUGGUAAGGUAACGGCUUACCAAGGCAACGAUGCAUAGCCGACCUGAGAGAGUGAUCGGCCACACUGGAGCUGAGACACGGUCCAGACUCCUACGGGAGGCAGCAGUAGGGAAUCGUCCGCAAUGGGCGAAAGCCUGACGGAGCAACGCCGCGUGAGUGAUGAAGGUCUUCGGAUCGUAAAACUCUGUUAUGAGGGAAGAACAUAUGUGUAAGUAACUGUGCACAUCGUGACGGUACCGAAUCAGAAAGCCACGGCUAACUACGUG
RNAcentral lists this ribosomal RNA (497 nucleotides) under uncultured bacterium. RNAcentral's name for it is "partial 16S ribosomal RNA". It matches the Rfam family "Bacterial small subunit ribosomal RNA", at positions 28 to 507 of the family's 1533-position model. The record is from RNAcentral.